RNAcentral lists this ribosomal RNA (406 nucleotides) under uncultured bacterium. RNAcentral describes it as "partial 16S ribosomal RNA". It matches the Rfam family "Bacterial small subunit ribosomal RNA", at positions 29 to 526 of the family's 1533-position model. The record is from RNAcentral.
AUUGAACGCUGGCGGCAGGCCUAACACAUGCAAGUCGAGCGAGCGGCGGACGGGUGAGUAAUGUCUGGGAAACUGCCUGCUGGAGGGGGAUAACUACUGGAAACGGUAGCUAAUACCGCAUACCAUCAGAUGUUCCCAGAUGGGAUUGGCUAGUUGGUGGGGUAACGUCUCACCUAGGCGACGAUCCCUAGCUGGUCUGAGAGGAUGACCAGCCACACUGGAACGAGAACAGGGUCCAGACACCUAGGGAGGGUAGCAGUGGGGAAUAUUGGACAAGGGGGGCAGGCCUGAUGCAGCCAGGCCGCUGGUGGGAGGAGGGCCUUCGGGUGGUAAAGCACGUUGAGCGGGGAGGCGUUACCCGCAGAAGAAGCACCGGCUAACUCCGUGCCAGCAGCCGCGGUAAUAC